Molecule: non-coding RNA, 26150 nt
Organism: Callithrix jacchus (white-tufted-ear marmoset)
Lineage: Eukaryota; Metazoa; Chordata; Mammalia; Primates; Cebidae
Source: RefSeq, a predicted model, not a curated record
CCUCUCCCUCUCCCCCCUCCCUCUCCCUCUCUCUCUCUUUCCCUCUCUCUCUCUCUCUCUCUCUCUCUCUCUCUCUCUCUCUCUCUCUCUCUCUCUCUCUCUCUCACACACACACACACACACACACACACACACACACAAUCUCUCUCUCUCUCCCCUUCCCCCAACUUGGUGUUUCUUCCAGCUCAGCCUCCUUCUCAUUCCAUCUCUACGUGCCCAGAGCUUCAAAUACAACCCUCCCCUCUCAGUCAGAUGGGCACAAAACUUCAACCAGCCGUUUCUCUGCCUGGAAGCGGUGAGAAUGUAAUCUGGACGGGAGGCUGGAUGGGGACACAUUCCGUGAGUGACAUCUUACCAGAGGGUGGCCACGAACUUUAUCAUGUUCCACAACUGUUAAUCACGACUGGAGCUGGCCCUGCUGCUCUCUGGCCUCCUCUCUAUGGAACUGUGCCUCUUCUCUAGGAAGAGUCCUUGAAGCUCUGCUGAGGGCAAAACCUCUUCUUUCAGCUCAUGUCAAUCUUGGGAUUUUUUCCCAGCGUGUUCAGAUUCUGGCUUGGAGGUGCUAUCUCCGGUUGACUUUUGACAUCAACCAAGCCCACUAUUUGCCUCUUUUGGUUUGUGAUGUUAACAAGCUUUUGGAACUAGUUCUAUAAGAUACUCAACCCCUAUCGUAUGAUGAUAGGUGCUGGAACUAGGCUUGUUGGGUUCAAAUUUUUGCUGUCGCUAACUGGCUUUGUGAACACAUGUCAGUUACUAAAUCUCCCUGUGCCUCGGUUUUUAAAAUAUGUCACUGGGGAGUUAUUGUAGUGUCUGUGGGUCUCAGUCAGGAAUUGCUAUAGAACAAACCACCCUAAAACUUAGUAACAUCAACAACAAGCCUUGUUUUUUUUUCAUUCUUGCAUCUGGAGAGAGGCUGGGGAGGAGGAGGCUGGGGUUUGGCGUUUCUAAGUGGGGCUUGCUAGGCUUGGCCCUGCGCUGUGCAGUAAGCACAGGUAUUCUCCAUUUGUCUUUCAUCUUCUUUGGACCACUGGCUACAUGUUCUCAUGGCAAAGAGGAGAAUAAAAGGGCAAGUCCUAUUGGCCAAAGCAAGUCAAUGGGGCAGAGAAGGGUACGCCCCUAGGGGGAGGUAGAGGGGAGUGGAUUUUUGUUGAACAAUUAUCCUAUCACAUUGUUGUGAUAGUUAAAUGAUUUAAUGACUUUAUUUUUUUUAAUUUUUUUUGGGGGGGGGGCCAAUUUCACUCUUGCUACCCAGGCUGGAGCGAUCUCAGUUCACCUCAACCUCCAUCUCCAGGGUUCAAGUGAUUCCCCUGCCUCAGCCUCCCAAGUAGCUGGGACCACAGGCAUGUGCCACCAUGCCCGGACAAUUUUGAAUUUUUAGUAGAGACAGGAUUUCUCCAUGUUGGUCAGGCUGGUCUUGAACCCCCAACCUCAGGUGAUCUGCCCGCCUUGGCCUCCCAAAGUGCUGGAAUUACAGGUGUGAGGCACCGCACCUGGCCAGAUUUAAUAACUUUAGAGUGCUAAUAAGAGUACGUGGCAUAGAGUAAGUGUUCAAUAAACAAGAAACAGUAGUGGUGAUAAUGUCAGUACUAGUGGUGACACGAAUAUCGGCAUUUUUAGUAGUACAUGCCUACCUCAGGUACUCUUUCCAAGAUGCACAUUCACACCAAAGGGUAAAUGUCUGCCAGUAUAAUAACACAGACCUCAAGUGUGUAUGUUUAACAGCAGCGGUUAAGCCAAAGAGGUGAAUGCAUAAGGGUAGAUUUUUGAGACUCAGUAAAAUCUGAUGACAAAGAAAGAAGGUUCUGGAGUAAGUCGAAUCUGGAUCCAAAUGCAAACUCCGCCACCUGCUUGCUGAGUAACCAUGGGCCAGUUUCUCGCCCUUGCAGUGCCUCGUAGGGUAGUGUGAAUUUGAUAAGCUGCUGUAAGCAAAGAAGUCAGAAAGCCUCUGGCCCACAGGGAGGUCGAUAAACACCCAUGGGUUAAAAAGGUCUGGAGCGGAGGGAGGAGGCAGCAGAAGCCCCUCAUAGAAACCCGAACCUUGCCAGCAGGUGGUAAGGUCACCUCUGUCCCUGGGUCUUUCCAGUAGAGAUUCACUGAGUACCUACUAGGAGCCAGGCAUAUGCUAUGGAACCCCAGAUUCACUUCUGCUCAGUCCACUCAUUUCCACAGUUCACUUGCCUCCGAGUAAGUCCGGUGGCAUGUUAGUUCCACUGGAUCUUACAUACGGUUAUCAAAAUUAAAAUUAAAAUGGCCACACAAGGAUUCUGUGGCAAAGCAAGUUAGAGAACUUGCACUAAACAGCUAAACAGGUUCUAUGGCGGAGGGACUUCGAGCCCUGCCUACGCUCCUGGGCCCAAGGUUCUCCCAGAGAGGGAGGCGGAAGUCAGGCUUCCAGACUUAAGAGCGCAUAGAGCCCAAAAAACUGGAACCUGGCUUUGGGAAACAGUGCUAUAAUUCCUUAGCAUCUCUCUACCCCACCCUUCCUUGCACUGUUGGCUGCCGGCACUCCUUCCUACCUUGCUGGUCCCCACUGCCCCGUUCCUGGUUUCCCCCAUCCCCCAGGAAGUGCAGUAAGCUUUCCCAAGCUUACAUCCUUUGCCCGGUGGCAUACUGCCUGCCCGCCCCCCACAGGAUCAGGGGCUCUAUGCGUGCUAUUUUCUGGUUUCUCUCUGUGAGAUGUCUUCUUCCUCCCCUGCCUGGCGAAUUCUGUUCAUCCUCCAUGCCUCUGUCCCUUCAGGCAGCCUCCUGCUGCCCUGGUGUGGGAUCAAAGUCCCUUUUCAGAUCCUCUUGGCCUCCACAGUGUCGCUCUCUCAUACCUAGUUACUGGCUGGCACCUGUAAGCUUCCUGCUGUCUCCUUCCCCUCCUAUUUUGAGUGCCUUGAGGUGGGGGCAGCCAUGUAGCUUAUGGUUAAGCUUAUAUGAUUGCAGGGGGCUUUAGAUCCUGUGUGACUCUGGGCACCUGCCUGUGCUUCAGUGUCCUGCUCUGUGAAAUGGGCAAUGACAAUUGUAGCACCUUAUAGGAUGCUAUGUGCAGGGAGAAGCAGCUUUUCCAUUCCUGCUUCCCUUAAGGGGGGAGGUGGCAGAAUGAAAUGGAAGGGUCUCAUACCUGGCGCCUGGGUUUGAAUGCUGCUAUGAGACAAUGGGUGAGUGACUUUCCCGCUGAAAGCUCUGCUUCCUUCUCCAAAUGAUGUCUAUGUCUAUUGCAUGUCUAUUGCAUGUCAGUUGAACUGAUAAUCUGAGGCUACGCAUAGGAACUGACAGAGUAGGUGCUUAAUAAAUAUUUUUAAAGAAAUAUAUAGACUUCCACUCAGUACCACAGACCGGGGGCAUGUAACUUGCUGGGCUCCCUGAAAGCCUGAAUGGGAAGGCAUUUAGAGGACAGGUGAAUCUAUUGCUUUAUUUCACAGAUGAGAAACCAAGGCCCAGAGAGGGCCAGGACUCACCCAAGGGCACACAGCAAGUAGGGGUUAGUAGAUCUUAGAUAAGAGCCCAGGUCUACCUGCCUUUCAGUCCAGGGAGAUUUCAGACCCUCUAGACAAGGCCUCAAGACGUCUUGGCAUUGAAAAGCCUGUAGGGAUAGUAAACCACAAAAGUGGCUCCUGCCUGUAAUCUCAGCACUUUGGGAGGCUGAGGCAGGAGGAUCACUUGAGCCAGGAGUUGGAGACUAGCUUAGGAAACAAAGCAAGACCCCCAUCUCUACAAAAAAAUGAAAAAAAAAAUUAACUGGGUGUGGUAGUGUGUGCAUGUUGUCCUAGCUACCUGAGAGGCUGAGAUGGGAGGAUCCCUUGAGCCCAGGAAUAUGAGGCUAUAGUGAGCUAUGAUUGCACCACUGCAAUCCAGCCCGGGCAACAGAGCAAGACCUUGUCUCAAUCAAUUAAUCAAUAAAACCACACAGAUACCAAAAGGAUGGGAGUGUAAUUAUUUCUGAAAACACCCUACACUAACAGGCUUUGGUUUUAAAAUGGUCAAGUACACUCUUUUUUUCUUUUGAGACAGGGUCUCACUCUGUCACCCAGGCUGAAGUGCAGUGGUGUGAUCGUAGCUCACUGCAGCCUCAACCUCCCGGGCUCAAGCGAUCCUCCCACCUCAGCCUCCAAAGUAGCUAGGACUACAGGCAUGCACCACUGCACCUUGCUAAUUUAUUUUUAUUUUUGUAGAGAUGGAGGUCUUGCUAAUGCUGCCCAGGUUGGUCUCGAACUCCUGGCCUCAGUGAUCCUCCUGCCUCGGCCUCACAAAGUGCUGAAAUUAGAGGUGUGGAGCCACCAAGCCUGGCCUGAUUUCAUCAGUGUUCCAGUUGUCUUGAGAUCUGCAGUCUCCCCUUUACUUCCAGUUUAGCUUGAGCAUGGUGUGAAGGUCACUUGCCUCCAGAUGCAAGUGUCAGGCAGGCACCCGCUACCCUGUUGUACAAUCCAGUGUAGACACCUCUUUUGGGCUUGGGCCUGCCCCUCUUGGCCAGGUGUGGUAGUGGAGGGAGGUGUAGAGAAGCCACAUCCCCUGAGCCCUUCCCUGGAUGGGACACAGUGCUCUAUGCUUGACCCCACACCAGCUAGAGGUUAAGGGGUCUCCCUUGGGGUCUGAGUCCCAGGAUCACCAUGCCCCAAGCCAUGUGACCUUGGGAAAGCCACCUGCUCCCAGCCCUCAGUUUGCUCAUCUGUCCAAUGGAAGGGAGGCUGGCAUUUCUAUCAGUGGUGCUGCGGGGAUGGGAUAGAAGGAGAUAAAGCUUUUGGGGCACUCAGCAGAGCACAUGGUAGUCAGUCAUCAGGAUUGUUUCCUUUAAAUGCAACUCUUAAAAUCAGGGACCCAAGCACCCUCAAAGACACUCCCAAGGUCUUUGACCUCAAACUGGGAAUGGUUGCAUUACCCCUUUCCCUCAUGCUUGUGGUCCAAUGGCUCGUUUCCAUGCUGGGGGCAUUCUCUGGGCGUCAUGAAGGGCACAGUGUUGCUCCCUGGCAUUUGCAAAGGUGCCUGGCAUGGGUGCAGCAUUUCACUGUGUACAAGCCCCUUCUUCUACCCAGUCCAUACCUACCCCUCAUAUACCUAUAGCACGUUACAGUUUAUAUGUUGCACAGCAUCUGCCGGGCUUAGGAGGCAGACCCUUGGUUUACAGAGCACACAGAGGCCUGGAGAGCCACGGGAGCCCAGCGAGCUGCACGGGCCCCAGGCUUUGCCUCUGGGCGGCCCCACGGGCGGUGGUACGAUUCUGGCUCGCAUCCAGUCCCCUCGGGCUCUACCUUCUCGUGCUCCCUCUGUGUCCUGCAGAAGAUGAAGUCUUCCUGAACGAGGCUCGGGAACGCUGCCACUGUUCAAUGAGCUAAUGGUGAAAUUGGAAGCUCAAGGGCUGGAGGCAGAGAGAGAGAAAAAAAAGACAAGCUUUGAUUCAUGGGCAGGAGGAUGAGUGAAUGGGGAAGACUCAUCCUGCAGUAAUCAGAGGAAACGCCUGAGCGUCCUUCGUCCUUCGAGCAAAGUCGCUCCCGGAGAGGGGAAGGUCAUGCAAGUGGCAAGCUUAGUGCCCACUGGUGGCCGAAGCCAGGAUGGGGAGGCAAGGGAGUGGGCUUGGGGCAGACAGACCUGGGCUCUGAUCCCAGUGCCACUGCAGCAGCAACCGUGCCACCCUUGCCUGUGAAGCAGGGUGAUGGUGUUUAUUAUCUCGGGGGUCCCUUGAGCAGAGUAAGUUAGCUGGUAGCAGCUGGGCACAAAAUAGGUGCUCACAAAAUAAAAACCCCUGGAAGCUUCUCUAGUAGAGCACGUGGAGACAAUGUACUGUCUCUUUAGAAGAGGGGUUAAAAUCUGCCAGCUGCCUCCACUGGUCCUGAGUGAGUGACUGAGCUGUUUUCACAGUCUGAUUUCCAGGGUCGGGGUAGUCAGCUGGAGGCAUGACAAGGUUUCUAGAGGUAAUCACUCACUUAGCUCUAGAAUGAGCCAUGGGGCCCGUGAGAGUGAGAGGAAGGGGUAACACAACCGUUCCCAGUUUGAGGUCAAAGACCUUGGGUGUGCCUUUGAGGUCCCCUGAAUCCCCGAUUUUAGGAAGCUGCGGUUGAAUGAAACAAAGCUGAUGGCUGUGAUUACCAUGUGCUCUGCUGAGUGCCUCAAGUGCUUUAUCUCCUUUUAUCCAAUCCCCGCAACACCGCAGACGGAAAUACCAGCAUCCCUUCCGUUUGACAGAUGGGCAGACUGAGGCCUGGGAGCAGGUGUCUUUUCCAAGGUCACAGAGGGAGCAGGAGGCUUGGGGCAUGGUGAUCCCAGGACUCAGAUCCCAAGGGAGCCCCCUUAACCUCUCGAUAAUCACUGUCAUGUCCAGCAGGUCACCAUAGGCAUUCUCACAUGGUCUCUCUCAUUCUUUGCAUGGACUCGAUGAGCUGGGUGUUAUGAUCACUGCAGGUGAGGAUGCUGAGAUCUGCGGGACAGAGAUUGGUGCCGGGUCACACAGCUGGCAGAUGACAGCACUUGGCCUCCAGUCUGGAGCUCUUGCCUCCAGCUCCUCAGUACCUUCUCAUACUCCAUCUUAAUUUGGGAGGAAAUGGAAUCGCCUGGGAGAAGGAAAGGAAUGAAAUUAGAGUGUUAGAAGGAGAAUGUUAUUGUGCCUUGAACAGUUUUAGAAUUUCCUCCAGAUCCUUCAGACCGGCGACCUCACCUGCAGACAUUGUGAUACGAAGGCAAUUGACUGCAGCCAGAAAGCUCCGACUCACCUAUUUUUUUGUUUAAACUUCAGAUUCCCGAAUUAAUAGAGGCUUCCUCUGUGUGCUGGGAGGAUGCCAGGCAAGCUUCCCAGCCUGGAACUGGAAGAUAAUAGUAAUUAAUGGAGCCGGUUUGUGUGAGGAGCCUCAGCUUGUGAGGCAAGUGGCGUAGCUCCGGCUCCCAGAGCCCCUGAUAUUGAUAGCAGGGUGGACCUCGGCUUAAGUCCAUACCACUUACUGUGAUGUCCACCCAAGCCACCGGAAGCCUGUGAGUCCUUGCCACACCAGGCGUCGGGUACCCUCCUCUCUGCCUUACCAUCUCCACCGUUGCUUUCUCCAUGUACCAUGGGAUUGUGAGAACUUGGUGGCGCAGGGCACAUUGCAGACUUCAUGGCUGGGAGUGGCUGGAGACGUCGCCUGGUGUCUGACCUGGGAAGGAGCAGGUGAGAGUAGGCGUUGGGCACUCCCAGUGUGGUAGAAAGACAGCGGGGCACUCUGCCUGCUUCCCCAACACCUCUCUUGCAUCACUCCCUGGUAAAUGCUGUCCUAUCAGUUUGGUGUCUCUCGUCGCUGGAGCUGUGGGAAAUCCUAGGACUCCAAGAAUGAGACCUUCUUUGAGAUGGCUCUGGAGGAUUUAGUAACUUUGUUCUUCCAAGUGAAACUUUGGAGCCCUUUCAGGGCCCUUUCAGAGGGAGGCUGGGGAGGGAGGAGCCCCCAGGACCUCCCGGCGUCCUGUUACACACGGAGCCCCCGAGUAGUGCCUUCUCAGGACACUGCUGCAGGGUUCAUUAUCCUCAUGUUACAGGUGAGGAAACGAAGGCUCAGAGACACAAAAGGACGUGUCCAAGGUCACAUGGGCAGCUAGUGGCAGAGUCGGGAUUUGGAUCCGGGUUUGCCUGUCUUCAGAGACCCAGGAGUCACAGGCAUUUGCUGUCUAGGAUCACCCAGAGUUGAUCUUCUACUUCUGCUUCCACCAUCCUAACGUCUUUUAGAGCAAUCGCCUCUUCCCUGUCGGGUGGAGUCUUGGGGCACUGUCCUUUAAGGUUCCCUGCCCUCCCUUAGACACUGACCCAAACUGAGCUCAUCAGACGUGCCGUCCUGGACCCUGAGCCAGGAACAGAGAGUGACAGGGACAAGCACCCCAUCCCCAAAGAGAGAGAAACAAACAGUGAAGAGCAGUCAUUCCAGCCCUGGACUGAUACAGCCAUCGAGUAGCUCCAGCUUCCCAGGCUUGGGAGCUGUUGCAGUUCCUGUCCAUUUCCAGGUCCCAGUUUUCAGAUCCCACUCAGUGUGGCCUAGCUGAUAUCCUCCAAAUAAAUCCCCCUACUCCUAUUUUAUCUAUUUAUUUAUUUAUAGAUGGGAAGUUUUACUCUAUUGCCCGGGCUGGAGUGCAGUGAUGUGAUCACAGCUCACUCCUACCUCAAACCCCCGGGCUCAAGCAAUCCUCCUGCCUUAGCCCUCCCGAGUAGCUGGGACCACAAGCACGCACCACCAUGGCCAGAUAAUUUAACUUUUUUUUUUAAUGUUGCCCAGGCUGGUCUUGAACUCCUGGCCUGAAGUGAUCCUCCCACCUGGGCCUCCCAAAGUGCUGGGAUUGCAGGCGUGAGCCGCCGCACCCGGCCUCCCCAUUUUAUUUGCUUUAGUCAGCCACAGUUGGUUUCCAUUGUUUGUAAUCAAAUAAUCCUCUCUGGUACCCUAAGCAUGGUGUGGGAUCCUGCUCUUUGCCUAUGGGGAACCCCUCUGUUCUCUGUGUAUUGAUGAAUUAUGACAUUUAAGGCACUCAGAACAGGGCCUGGCUCUCAAAAACGGUUCUGCCAUUCUUACUGGACUCCGAUUCUGUUCUCCUCUUGGACUUGGUUCACACAGGGGUCCAGGCCUGGGUGUGUGGCCGGUUCUGGGGCUAUUGGGAUCCCCACGAAGCCUGAGCUGACAGGUCUUGGUUCAGUUCCUACCAGGCAGAUGCUGGUGUCGUGUCAGAUUGAGGCUUACCACAGCUGGCAUUAAGUGACCAUGUGACUGCCUGGCAGCUGCCACCUGUGCCGUGUUCCAGGGGCCCCGGCCAGGAAGGGCUGGACUCACCAUCCUCCCCAACAGUCGUGGUGCUAUGAAGCAUGAUGAUCGUCAUUUUUCUGAGCACCUACUAUGUGCCAGGCCCUGUAACAAUAAUAAGGGCAAUCCUAAUCAUGAAAGCCACAGCAUCAAACAUUGUCAAUUUGUUCUUCCCAGCAUUCUUAUGGGGAGGCUUGUGCCCAUUUUACGGAUGAGUAAAUUGAGGUUGAGGAAAUGGGACGAUGCUGGGAAAACAUGGAAGGUACUUGGGUUCCACUUGGUGUUUCAACUUCAGCAGAGGCGUUGGCUGGUUUCUUCAAGGUAAACACAGAAGUAUUUGAUUUUCCAAGACAGCAUAGCUUAAUUGACAUGAGAAACACAUACACUCCUCCUAUUAAUAUGGCUUUGAUUGUGCUCUCUGCAAAAUAUUCCUGGCUCUCUCAUGUUAUGGGGCCUUCGCCUCCUCCCUGGGUUAUGUCUGGAUCCUUGGGGACAAAUGGGAACAUCCUCACACAAGCUGGCCAUGCACCGAUGACUCCUAGAUUUCUUUUUCUUUUCUUUUUUUUUAAUUUUUUUAUUUUUGAGACAGAGUUUCACCCUUGUUGCCCAGACUGGAAUGCAAUGGCACAAUCUCAACUCACUGCCACCUCCACCUCCCAGGUUCAAGCGAUUCUCCUGCCUCAUCCUCCCAAGUAGUGAGAUGACAGGCGUGCGCCACCAUGCCCCACUAAUUUUUGUAUAAUUAGUAGAGAUGGGUUUCACUAUGGUGGCCAGGCUGGUUUCAAACUCUUGACCUGAAGUGAUUUGCCUGCCUCGGCCUCCCAGAGUGCUGGGAUUACAGGUUCGAGCCACCGUGCCCCGCCAACUCCCAGAUUCUAUCUCCAGUCCAGCCGGAUCCUGCCUCCUAGACUGGCUUCUCCAAUGGCCUUCUUGACACCUCACUGGGAUGCCUGGAAGACACCUCAAGCCCCACACAUCCAUACUCUCAGGCUCCCUCACUUCCUGACCCUGCUUCUUCUGCAACUUCCUUCACCUCGAGGGCUUGCAACUCUGUCCUCCUCAUGCUCAGUCCAAAGCCCUGCAGCCCUCCUUGGCUUCCUCUCCUUCCACACCUCAUCCCUUAGGCAAUCAUGCAUGGGUCAGGAAUUGAUCACCUUUUUCCCUUCUGCCCCCUUCACCCUGGUCUGAGCCACCAUCCUUUCUUGCCCGGAUUACCCCGUUCUCUUCCUGCCCUGCUCCCAGCUCCUGUGCUGGAUCCACCUUCAUCCCUUCCCAACCCAGAGACUGGAUGAUCCUUUGAAGACAGGGGUCAGACCAUGUCCCCUAUCUGCUCCAGCCUGGAUUACGACUUCCAUUUUGCUCAAAGGUGUGAAGACCCCCAGGAUCCUCCUGAUCUGGCCUCAGGUCCCACAGCUCUUUUCUGCCUGCUCUGUUCAGCCACACUGGCCCCUUGCUGUCACCUCCCCCCCAUGCCAGGCUGGCUCCUGGCACAGGGCCUUUGCACCAGCCACUCCCUCCUCCUUCUCGCUAUGCACAUGGCUCACUUCCUCAUCUCCCACGAGACUGCUCAGUGAGCUCCUUCUUCCCCGACCACACUAAGAUUGCAUCGUCCACACCUCACACCCCAAACCCCUCCUCUCCCUCAUGCUGCCCUACUUUUUGUUUGUUUCAUAGCAAGCAUCACCUUCUGAUCCCCUUAUUGAAGGAUUUCACUUAAGUAUCUACUUUAGGAGAAUUUGCUGAAGGCGAUUUAUGAUUGCUGUUCGUUGUCUGAAUUAUGUCAGCUCCUCCAGGGUGAAGCUCUUUGCCUGUUUUGUUCCCCACAUGUCACAAGCUUCUGGAGCAUUGCCAUGCACACAGUGGACACCCCGCGGAUGAAUUCUCAACAGCUUUCCUCGGAUCCUCAAAUUUCUCCCUGACUCUGGGGUCACAGAGCGUCAGUUCAUGUCCUCGUACACAGUAUCAGGAGAACCAGCAGAAAAGAGAACGACCCUGCAGUGGAGGCUGUUGGCUCAGUUGUUGUUCUCGGCUGUUGGGAUCUGCCCAGGUGAAAGCCCUCUUAGGCUCCUGCUCUGUCACACCUCCGGGCCUUUGCACAUGUUGUGCCUCUUUCUUCCCAGUAGACUGUUGGGUGUCAUUGAAAGCCCUGGUAAGGUAUUGCCUCUUUCCUGAGGCCCUACAGGACACUGCCACCCUCCUCAGUCCUAGGAAACACGUAACCCCGUCUUCCUUUCCUGGUGUUUCUCAGUGUGUGGGUCCCAGUGCCUGGGAUGUGGCUCUGUGUCCACUGCAUCAUCAGCUCCUUGAGGGCAGAGGCUGGGCUCUUGCUCUGUGUUCUGAGAUGGCCUGGGGCUUGGCACAGGGCAUGUGCCCAGUCAGUGUUCCUUGGGGAGGACACAGUAAAUCUGACACAAGCCAGGAGAGAACAAAGAGGGUCGUGAAGACCCUUUCAAGGUCACUGGCAGGCGGGGAAUGAACACUGUCUUAUUUGAUCAUUUAUUUAUACUCUAUUUUCAAAUACGAUUUGAGACAGCCUGAGAUGAAAGGCAUAGAUACGGCAAAAAUGAAGCUCUGCCUCUUGAGUGCCUCCUCCUCCUCCUCCUCCUCCUCCUCCUCCUCCUGGCUCUUCCUCCCUGGCUAUAAACGUGCCCCAGUCUCUGUCCUCCUAACAAAAGUGCCCUAAACCCCCCAGCAGCUCUGUGGCCCUCUGCAGCCCAGGCUUUCAGACAGGGCCUUGCAACCACUGUCUAUGCUCAGACCUGCUUUCUGAAGCUGGAGUCAUCUCACUUCUGCCCCGUCCCUCCACCAAACCCAUCUUAGCCAGGGCACUGGGCACUUCCAUGUCACUGAUACAGUGGACACACUCAGCUCUGUCACUGGAGUUCUAGGCAGCCCUGGGCAUUUUGGCCCCUCUUCCCUUCUCCAAGCCCUUGCUUCCCUUGGCUUAUUUGACUCUUGGAGUUUCUCUCUGGUUUCUCCUUCCCACCUCCCCUCCUCUGCUCAUCCCAUAAACAUCUGUGAGCCUUGGGACUCCCUCUCUCCCCUUUUUCUAUUCACCCUACACACUUUCCCUGAGCAAUUCUCUUUUAUUCCCAUGACUGCAGUUACCAUCAGGACUAGUUUGGGUAAUUCUAGAAAGACAUAAACCCCCCAAAACUCAGUGGCUUAACACAGUACUAAUUCCUUUCUCCCUUCCAUAAAGUUCAUUCAGUAGCAAGAGGAGAGAAGGGGGCUUGGUUCCUUCUGGUCAUCAAGGGAUGCAGGCUCGAUUCACUUGGCUGCAAUUGACCCUGAAUCUGUGCUCACAUUGGACAAGAGCAGGGUGGGGGUAGCCCGUCCCCUUACCAUCCCAUCACCAGAAGAUUGUCACCCUACCUCCCUGAGCAUCCUUUCCUUCAUCUAUCCAGAGGGGAGCACACCACCCACCUUGAGACUCUGUUGUGAGGCUCCAUGAGAGCACAGACACAUGAUGAUGCUUAUGAGGACGUUCUAGGUGGCCAGGGAUAGGCUUCUUUCUCUCAUAUUUCCUGAGCCUAGGAAACAUCUGCCAGUUGGCUGAACCCCGGAGCUGGGGGUGUGGCUAGAAGGAGAUGGAGUCAGACACCAUCACAAGUCAUGUUCUCAGGGUGGCCUUGCUGCUAGGGACUGUGCAGGGACAUCCCGGCCAGAGGGCAGCUGUGUGACUGGAUCCUUCUCCAUAAAUUCGAGGCCAGAGCAUGGGAACUCACCCAGAGAACUGACUCAGCCUUCUGGCUGGCUCUCAGAGCCUGUGCUGGGCUGCAGCAUGGCUGACUGUCAAAUCCAUCACCCACAAUCAACUUCACGACAGUGGGCAUAUGUCACUGGCUCUCAAAGCCAGACAGGCUGGACCCUCGGUCCUCUUCACAGGGAGGGAGGACUGACACUGAUUGAGCACCUACUGUGUGCCAGGCAUUCUCUUAAGUGGUUUAUAUCCACCAUCGCUUAAGUCUUAUGGUAGCCUAGGAAGGAGGUCAUCGUUCCCAUCUCACAAAAUCAGGAAACCAAGACUUAGGAAGCUUAAGAUUUCAAAAUUUCAAUAAAAGCACAACAAGAAAGAGGAAGCCCAAGGCAUGCACACUUCAAACACCCAGCAGCUUAUCUAUGAGCUCUCUCUUGACCCACUUCUUGAACUCUCCUAAGACCGUAUCACGGAAAGGAAAGGAAGCAGGGACUGGGGAUUGGAAUGCCUGGCCUCUCAGUGCAGAGGCAGCACUUACUAAAUGAGUCAUGUUGUGCAAAGCAUUGUAACCUCUUGAAGACUCAGUUUCUCAUCUGUCAAAUGGUCACAAUCACACUGCUCUCCCAAGGGCAAGGGAGAGGAAUUCACAAACUGCCAAAAGAUCCACAUUUUCUUCCUCUUUUUGAGAUGGGGUCUCACUCUGUCACCCAGCCUGGAGUGCAGUGGCCUCCCAAAGUGCUGGGAGGCCCCGUUCUCUCCUCUUGUUACUGAAUGGACUUUAUGAAAGGAGGAGAGGAAUUUGUACUGAGUUAAGCCACUGAGCUUUGGUUUAUCUCUUUAUAGAAUUACCUGAACUAGUCCUGGUGGUAACUGCAGUCAUGGGAAUGAAAGAGAAUUGCUCAGGAGAAGUGUGUCGGGUGAAUAGAGAAGGGGGAGAGAGGGAGUCCCAAGGCUCACAAAUAUUUAUGGGAUGAGCAGAGGAUGGGAGGUAGGAAGGAGAAACCACAGAGGUAGAAUGGACCCCAAGGGUGUGGCAUCCAGCAGAAGCAAAGAGGUCAGGAGCCACGGAACCUGGCCAGCAUUUUCUCUGGUUCAGCUGCUGCCAUCUCCCACUCAGAUGCUCCUUAGGGGUCUUCUGUGGCUUACUCUGUUCUUUGGCAGUCUCUUCUCUGCACAGCAGCUAAAGGAAUUUUUUGAAACAGAAAUUAGAUCAUGCCACUUCCUUGCUCGAAACCCUUAAAUAAGUUUACAUGCAUUCCUGACACCUUGUGUGAGCAAGCUCUGACUAUCUCUUGGCACCUGUCCCUUUCCCUUAGCUUUCUCUUCAGCCCCUGGCCUCCUUUUUACCUUUUUGUCACCCUGUGCUUGUAUUUUUUCUUUUAUUGAGACAGAGUCUUGCACUGUUGCCCAGGCUGGAGAGCAAUGGUGUGAUCUCAGCUCACUGCAACCUCCGCCUCCUGGGUUCAAGCGAUUCUCCUGCCUUAGCCUCCAGAGUAGCUGGGAUUACAGGCACCCUCCACCACUCCUGGCUAAUUCUUUGUACUUUUAGUAGAGACAGGGUUUCACUAUGUUGGCCAGGCUGGUCUUGAACUCCUGACCUCAUGAUCCACCUGCCUUGGCCUCCCAAAGUUUUACAGGAUUACAGGCGUGAGCCACCGCGCCCGGCCCACCCUGUGCGUUUUCCUUGUUCCACGGCCUUUGCACAUGCACUCUCCUCUGCUUGGAAUAUGCCUGUCUCAUGCCCUUCAACUGGACAACACCUGCUCCUGCUUCAGAUUGCAACAGAAAUGUCGUUUGCUCGGAGAUGCAUCUUUCUGCUCCUCUAUCUAAAUUAGCUUCCCUGGGUCUCUCUCCUGCAGCACGCCAUCUCUUUCACUCUGCAUGAUUUGCUAUUGCUUUUUUACUUAUUGGUUUUUUAAUGUCUGUCUCCCUCUUUUUUUUUUUUUUCUCUUUUUGAGACAGAGGCUCACUCAGCCACACAGGCACCUUCUCCACGUCAGUGCAGUGGCACAAUCUUGGCUUACUGCAACAUCCCCUCCCAGGUUCAAGCCAUUCUCCUGCCUCAGCCUCCUGAGUAGCUGGGAUUACAGGCAUGCACCACUACGCCCGGCUAAUUUUUUGUAUUUUUGGUAGAGAUGGGGUUUCUCCAUGCUGGUCAGGCUGGUCUCGAACCCCAAAGUGCUGGGAUUACAGGCGUAAGCCACUGUGCCCGGCCCUGUCUCCCUUUUAGAAUACGAGUUUCAGGCACCACAUCUGCUCUGCUGGUGGUCAAGUCCCCAUCCCCAGCACAGCGCCUGGCACCAAAAGGGCACUCAACACUUUUAGUGGAACGAGCAGAGGUGUUUGCUGCUGUUUCCCCAGCGUUCCCAAUCCUGCCAUUCCAGUCUUGUGCUAGAAAGAGUGCAGCCCCAGGAUCCAGCCUGUAGGAAGGAGAGGUGGCCUUGUGAAGGCCCCCCUGCAUUCCCAGGCCCCAAGGAGGUGCAGGAGGAGGGAGAGCCUCUCCAGCCAGCCCUCUGGUUCCAGAAGAGCAGCCCGCCUGUCUCCCUCACCUGCUGCAGUCCCAGAAUCCCCUAGACAGCACUGAGGCCACCUCUGCAAAGCUGGGCCCCAGAUGACAAGGUUCUCCUCUCACCGGGACCACUGGGACACCAUGCAACAUCUGACCUAUAUUAAUCACAAGUGCUUAUUCGCCGUCUUGGUCCCCUCCCACCCAGCACUAAACCCCACCCUGCACAGGCACCUCCAUCCAUCCAAGGACGUUGUAAAAAUAAAAUGAUCACAACCUAGCCCUCGGGGAGCCUCGGCCUCAGUGUGUCCUGCUCUGAGGCGGGCAGCAUUCACAACCCAGUUUGAUGAGGAGAAGCAGAGAGAAGGAGGAAAAAAGGAGGAAGGAAUUUGUGGAGGAGGAGGGAGUGAGGCAGAUACGCAAGAACUUGAAGACAUGAGGGUAGAUGAGAUGAGAAAGAAAGGGAGAAAGUGACAAGGAAGAGGAAUGAGAGCAACACAUGGAGAGAAGAAAAAUUAGCAAAAGAGCCCAGGGGAGCGAUCGGGGAGCGCGACUAGAAUUCUAACAAGAACAGUGGAAGCCUUAUAAAGAACAUUAAAUAGAUGGGAACAGAGAAGCAAAGAAUCCUGGAAGGAAAUUGGUUAACAGGAGAAGAAUGGGAUGAAAGGAAGAAAAUAAAUGAAAAGCAAAUAGAACUGACUCUUCUGCUCACCCCUCCAAAUGAAACUGGGCUGUUUGCUGAAAAUAGAAACAGACGAAGUGAAACAGCCCAGGAAUACACGAAGGCUGAAGGCCGAAGAGUUGGGAAGGAAGGGUUGGCGCAUAAGACAGAAGGCAUUGGAGGCAGACCCAGGUGACAGCUUCGGUGGGGGCUUUCACCAACGACCGGACCGGCUCCUGAAAGCUGGUUGCCGUUCUAGCCUCGGGCCAGGCAUGUCCAGUCCUCAGAGGUCUGGCUCGGACGCAAGCUCUUUCCCGGACUCCACACCUGCCUUGCCCUGCCGUGCCCUGCCCUGCCCGGCUGGGAGUUUUCAGUUCCAGGAGGCCGGCUGCUGGUUGCUCAGGAGCAAACUGUUCCCCUAAGGCCCUGGUCAAACCCAUCGACUCCAUUAUCUCUCUUCUUCAGCCUUGACCUCAGAGGCUCUUGGGCAGCCAAGGGUUCUGUCUGGGAAUGUGUAGUCUCCCCCAGGUCCAUCCUCGAGAUGCACAUUUGGACAAAUGCACAUUUAGACAUUUUGUCUCCAAACGUGCAGUAAAAAAACGCAGUGCACUCAGAAUUGCCAUCCUUCUGUCUUCCUUCCUUCGCUAAUGCACUAUUCAACAAGGACUAACUGAGCACUUAGUAUGUGCCAGGACUCCAGUGGAUAAGACAAGUCUCUGCCCUGCAACACUUAGAGUUUCUCUGUCCUCUUUCCUCCCAUCUUUGACUCCUCCCUUCUUUUUUGCUCAUAUCCAGCCCUCCCGUGUAUCAGUUAUUCUUGCUGCAUUGGAAACCGCCCCAAAACUUACUGGGUGCAAACUAAUGCCAAUGGUUUGUGAUUACAUCUCUCACGCAUCUGGGGGUUGACUGGGCUCCGCCAGGUAGUUCUCGCCAGGGUCUUUCACUCAGUCACAGUUAGAUGGGGGCUGAGGACUGGGGGCCGGGGCUGAAGCUGGUUUGAAGGCCUCCUCCCUCAUGUGUCUGGUAGCUGGGAGCUCACCUCGAGCUGGCAGCUGAAACUUCUAUGGGUGGCAUCACCAUGUGUUCUGGGCUUCCUUACUGUGUGGUAACUGGGUUCUAAGGGGUUGUGGUACCUUUUUCCUACCUACUGUCAGAAGUCACAGAGCAUCGCCGCCAUUGUGUUCUAUUGGCAGUAAUGCUGUGCUCUAAGGCAGUCACGGAGAUCCAUCCAGGUUGAUGGGGAGGGGACACAGACCCCACCUCAUGAUGGAGGAGUGGCAGAGUCACUUGUAGGAUGAGUAUGUGGGAGCAUCUUUGGAAAAUACCAUCUUCCACAGUUCACCUUCUGGCCACAGUCAUUCACAAUGAUUCACACCCACCCCUGUUAUGAGCUGAACUGUGUCUCCCCCAAAAUCCAUAUGUUGAAGCCCUAAUCCCAGCACCUCAGAAUGUGACUGUAUUUGAAGACAGGUUCAUUUAAGAGGUGAUUAAAUGGCAAUGAGGUUAUUAGCAUGUGUCCUAAUCCAAUAUGACUGUUGUCCUUAUUAAAAAAGACUUGGGCACAGACAUACACAGAAGGAAGAGUAUGGGCAGACACAGGGAGAAGGUAGCCGACUGUAAGCCAAAGAGAGGCCUCCGAAGAAACCAAUCCUGCUGACACCUUGAUCUUGGACUUCCAGCCUCCAGAAGACACCCAGACUGUGGAAUUUUGCUAUGGGAGCCCUAGCAGGUGGAUACAUGCCCCACAUACAAAAUCUAUUCAUUCCUUUCCCUCAAGAUCUGUCUGGCAUCAGCUCAAAGGCCAGGGUCCACCCAGGUGCAGGUAUGGACAUGUCUCCUCAGGUGGCGUUUCUUGGGUACAGCUCCUUGAGUGCCACCCCAUUCAACAGGAAGACCUGUGAGCUACAGAAAUGAGUUACCUGCCCUCCUACUCCACAAUGGUGAUUUAGGCAUAGGAUAACUGUUUAACACCAUAGGCACCCCUAAGCUAAAAGUGGGGGAGUGGGAGACACACAGGAGUCACCGGUCCAGAGCAAUUCUGAAAUCCAUCUGGGUAUAUGUUGCCAGUUCCUGGCUUAGUCCUCAGCCCAGCUGCCUGGGAAAGACCCCCACAUGGCUCCUCACUCUGCCCUCUGGGCUCUUGCUUCUUUCCUCCGGUCCACUCUUGGGUUUCCAUAAGAAAUGCCCAGUGUUUGCAGCUGAGCAGUUUUUCUGAACCUGAUUUCUGCCCAUGGAGAUUUUAUGGUCCCAAAUCUCCCUUUUCAUUUGAUGCUUUCUCUAACCCUUUCAUUCAAAGCCAAAACAGGUCCUUUAAAAAUUGUGUAGGUUUCUUAUCUUCUGAGUCAAUUUAUAAUCCCUUCCAUUAGACAAAAGCCAUACCCACAAAUCUCUUUUUUCACAUUGGGUUCUUGGCAAGGCUGCUCUUAUGAUUCUUAGGAGCUCUAUUAUUUAACAGAAAGGGUCUUCAACAUAUGCUGUUAAGAUCCUUAGAAGGCCUUUGUCUGCUUGCAAAGGUAAUGAGGUACCGCCUUAAAUCCUUCUAAGUCCUAAUAAAAGGCUUUAUAGUUAUGUCCUUGGAUUCAUCUUUAACUGUUUUCCUAUUAAUGACCCUGGUUUUAAUCUUUGCCUGGAAGUUAUUUCUUAUUUUGGGAAGGAGGAAAGUUUCAAACCAAGGAAAUCUUGGUUCCUUUAUCUUUAAUAGUUCAUUCUUCAGCUUCUCUUAUUGACAGAGUAGGAUUUGAACUCAGGACUACUUGGCCUCGAAGCCUGCACUCUUGCUGACAAGUCCUGUCACUUCUCUGCACAGUGGAGCCAGCAGGGAUUCCAUCAAGUCCUGGGGAAGAGUGGGAUUUGAGCAGGUAGAAGAAGGAGGGUGUGCCAGGCAGGGGUGUCACCUGAAUGAAGAAAUGGCAGGAAAUGCAAGGUGCACUAGGAGACAGAGGCAGUCAAGUGCAUGUGAGAGAGACGCUAACGAAAGCAGAGGCUGUGAAUGUCCUGCCCGUAUUCCUUCAGCCCAGCCCGGGGGCCCCCUGAAGACGGUUCUCUGCUUGCUGGCACUGUCCUGUGUCACUUGGCAGGCCCUAGAGACUCAGGGUGGGAGUGCCAGGGGUUGAUGCUCCCUCUCACUAAGGACAGACAGGAGCUGGAGUGUAAAUACCCAGCUGCCUUGCCCUGGGGCUGGCAGAUCUGAGAAAUCUCCUACCAAUGCUGCCUCUCAGAGGCCCCCAGGCUCACAGGGGCUACCCCCAUUUCAGUGUACAUUUUACUGGCUUUUUGGGUCCAUCCCUGUCUCACUUCUCCAUUCCCCCAUGCUCCUUCUGGGGCAACCUCCAAGAUAAACUACCUGUUCCCAAACACUUAUCUCAGGGUCUGUCUCUGGAGAAAAGAAAACUAAGAAUUUUUUUUUUUUGAGACAGGGUCUGACUGUGUCACCCAGGCUGGAGUGCAGUGGCGCGAUCUUGGCUCACUGCAACCUCUGCCUCCUGGGUCCGAGCGAUUCUCCUGUCUCAGCCUCCCAAGUAGCUGGGACUACAGGCGCCCACCACCAUACUUGGCUGAUUUUUUUUUUUUUUGUAUUUUUAGUAGAGAUGGGGUUUCACUAUGUUGGCCAGGCCGGUGUUGAUCUCCCAACCUCAAGCGAUCCGCCUGCCUCAGCCUCCCAAAGUGCUGGGAUUACAGGUGUGAGCUAUGAAACUAUGAAGUAUCCCGUUUGCUGGAUGAAGAAACUGAAGCAGAAAGAAGUUAACACAGAGUAGCCAGGAAACAGAACUGAAGGAAAGCCUUUGAAAUGAAAGUGCCAAGAGUGUGUGUGUGUGUGAGCGUGUGUGUGAGUGUGUGUGUGAGUGUGUGUGUGUGAGGUGUGUGUGUGAGUGUGUGCGUGAGGGUGUGUGUGUGAGUGUGAGUGUGUGUGUGGUGUGUAUGUGUGAGUGUGUGAGUGUGUAUGUGAGUGUGUGUUGUGUGUGAGGUGUGUGUGAGUGUGUGUGUGAGUGUGAGAGUGUGUGUGAGUGUGUGUGUGAGUGUGUGUGUGAGUGUGUGAACAGAGGGAGGUAGUGCGUGAGUGGGCGGUGGGGAAGGGAGGCAAGAUGAGGCUGGUGAGGCGGGUGCACACCAGGGCAAGGGUUUGGGUCACUAACCGAGGGGUACAGGAAGCCUUGGAAGGCUUUGGGCAGGCAGGGUGACAUGUUACGAUGCGAAGACACAGUCACCCUGGAGAGCGAGGCAAACCUGUAUUAAAAGGCUCCAGGGCCGGGCGUGGUGGCUCACGCCGGUAAUCCCAGCACUUUGGGAGGCCGAGGCAGGUGGAUCACGAGGUAGGCAGAUCGAGACCAUCCUGGUCAACAUGGUGAAACCCCGUCUCUACUAAAAUUUACAAAAAAUUAGCUGGGCACGGUGGCGCGUGCCUGUAAUCCCAGCUACUCAGGAAGCUGAGGCAGGAGAAUUGCCUGAACCAGGAGGCGGAGGUUGCAGUGAGGCGAGAUCGCGCCGUUGCGCUCCAGCCUGGAUAACAAGAGCGAAACUCUGUCUCAAAAAAAAAAGGCUCCAAGCAGAUGUAAGGAGGUGAUUAGGACACUUUGGUGGUCACUCUAGGGGGCCCUGGGGACUUGCCUGGCAGGGGCCACUGAGCUCCUCGGUGGUCUCCAGAACCCUGGGGGCCACAUGCAGGCCAGUGCCUGCCUCUUUCCCUCCCCUCCCAAACCCCUUCCCCUUCCUCUUAGGUCACUGAGACCCUCCAUAUUUUCACCUCAGGGUCUCUGGCCUGGGGAGGGUCUGGGCUGGGGAGCCAGGCACCCCCUGCAGCCCGGCCAGGCUGGCAGCUCAGCAAGAAGGCCAGCCAGACCUCCUGACUAGCAACCAGCCAGGCACCAGAGGCAAGCACGUGGCUGGGUGGGUGCCACUGUCUGCCCCAACGCCCUGAGCUUGCCACGCUGCUGAGCAGAUGCUCUUGUAAGUGAGUGCGAUCAGAAUGGGGUCAGGAGGGUCUGCUGGCCCCACCUUCUCCUCCACCUCUGCUGGGCUCCACUGCCUUUGCUGCUGUCCUGGAAGAGCUGACCAGCUUGACUGGCCAGGGCACCAUGCAGCCAGGAGUGGCAAAGUGUGGCGUGAUGUGACCCAGGCGUUCAGUUGUGCAGGGUGCAGGGGACAUGGAUCCUGGGGGCUCUGGUGCAGGUGAGGCAGGACUGGAGUGGAGGAAAGUGGUAGGAGAGUGACAGGGGUGUUGGCUACCCUGCAGUCACUUCAGGGAGCCCCUGGCUGCACAUUGAGCCCGAGUGUGUGACUUGUGGUGUCGGAAGGUCUGGCGUCUCUAGGGAGGAGCAGAAGGGAACUGGAACUUGCUGAGGGCCUACUAUGUGCCUGGUCUUCAGCAGGUGCUUCCUUGGGUUAUUACUGGCCCCUUGCCCCACUUCAGAAGCCCUCUGUCCACCCUUCCUGGGGGCCUUUUCUUUUAACCUUCCAUGCUGGGGGUUCCAGCUCCCCACUUCACAGUGUUUAUGACUCGGGUCUUCCUUCCACCUUGGGAUAGGACCUGCAGGACAGCGGUGUCCCUGCAAGCCUUUCCUCCAGCGUCCCUAGCUGCAGGAUCCUUCCCAGGCACCUGCUUAUCUGCUUGGGUAGCUUCUUUGUGAGCAAAUGAACACAGGUUCUCCACAAGUCCCAAUUCCUGCAUGCCAGAGUAAUCAUCUUCGCCUUUCUGAGCCUCAGUUUUCUCCUCUGUAAAAUGGGCAAAAUCACUCCCACCAGCCAGGUGCAGUGGCUCUCACCUGUAAUCCGAGCACUUUGGGAGGCACAGAUGGGUGGAUCACCUGAGGUCAGGAGUUCGAGACCAACUUGGCCAACAUGGUGAAACCCUGUCUGUACUAAAUAUACAAAAAUUAGCUGGGCGCGGUGGCAUGCACCUGUAAUCCCAGCUACUUGGGAGGCUGAGGCAGGAGAAUCGCUUGAACCUGGGAGGCAGAGGUUGUAGCGAGCCAAGAUCAUGUCACUGCACUUCAGCCAGGGUGACAGAGCAAGACUAUCUCAAAAUCAAUCAAUCAAUAAUAAGAAGAAAUCACUCCACCUUGAAAGGUGAGGCUUAAAGGGGAUGAAGAAGGUAGAAGCCUGGCACAGAGGAAGUGCUGAUCAGAGGCGCAGUGCCAGCCGUGUGGCUGGGGUAAGUGUCUGCACCUCUCUGAGCCACCCUGCCUCAGCCCUAAAGUAGCCCUAUCCUGCACAAGGAAAGGAGGGAGAGAAGGGCAGCUGACAUGGUGUGUGAGCUGUGAGGCUUGUGCACUGGGACAGCUGGAGCCUGCAUCACAUCCCAUCCAUGUGAGUCAAGGUUUGGGUAAGGUGAAGGCAUCUCUCCACCCCACCUAGCACUGGCAGCCAGGGAUCUUGGAGGCUCCCCUCCAUCCCACGUGGCUCUCUCUUCCUCCAUCACCCAUUUUUCCUUGGGCCUUUGCACUGGUUUUGCAGCCUGUGGCUGGGCACUGGUGCCAGUCCUGUCUUGCAUGAGGCGCCAAGGCUGCCCAUGUUGUGUGGGGGAGAAGUGAGAUCCCCCAUCUUGACUCAAGGCUCAGCCCUAGGCAACACCCCCAUAUCCUGGUGUCUGCCGCUGUCUCUGGAGUUAGGAGUCCCAGAGCCUGCAAGAGAGGGGAACAUGUGGCAACCCCAGAGGGUGAGGACAGAGAAGGGGGCUCUGUUGAGAGCUCCUGCUGCAGGCUGCAGCCACCCCCUCUGCCAGCCUGGCCAGGGCAGCCACCCCAGUCAGGCCCCCACUGUAUGCCCGGCAUGCUCCCAUGGUACGUCUCACCUUCACACUGGCCCAGCGAGGGAGGAACAACCAUCCCAUUUUACAGAUGGGGAAGCUGAGGUUCAGGCAGGCUUGCCCGAGGUAAUCCCUAAGUGUGUCUGGCUGCUUCCGGAAUUCCAUAGGCUGCUGUUAUCAUAGAAUCAAUGGUCAACCCAGGAGCAGUGGCAUGCACCUGUGAUUUCAGCUACUUGGGAGGCUGAGGCAGGAGGAUUGCUUGAGGCCAGGAGUUUAAGACCAGCCUGGGCAACAUAUUGAGACUGGUCUCUUAAAAAAAAAAAAAAGAGUCCAAGCAUGCCUGUAAUCCCAGCACUUUGGGAGGUCAAGAUGGGUCAGGUGAGGUCAGGAGCUCGAGACAAGCCUGACCAACAUGGUCAUACUCCAUCUCUACUAAAAAUACAAAAAUUAGCUGGGCAUGGUGGCGGGCACCUGUAAUCCCAGCUACUCGGUAGGCUGAGGCAGGAGAAUUGCUUCAUCCCCAGAGGCAGAGAUUGCAGUGAGCUGAGAUCGCACCACUGUACUCCAGCCUGGGUGACAGAGUGAGACUCUGUCUCAAAAAAAAAACAAAAAAACAAAAAAAGAAUCAGAAUCAGCUGAGUUUUCUUUGUGGCACCAAGCAUUUAUUUCCAACACUCAACCAUCAGCAGGUUUUGCCCCUGAGACCAGUACGCACCUGAAGGGAGGCGGCUGGGAAGGUCCCAACCUUCCUCCGGCGGUUUCCUGAGACUCACAGACAUCUGAAGGUGGCGGUGGCAUCACUAGAAGCCUGCACUGGGGAAUGCUGGUUGCAGGUCCACUGCAUCCUCAGCCAUAACCUAAACAGUUGCCUUGGCUUCCUGGGGUGGCUGUGCAGGUUGAGUGAGAGGAGACACGCUGGAAGAGGCUUUAGGGGAGCCUGGGCACCAAAGUGGGGCUCACAGGGGUUAGGCCGAUGCUUGUACCUUGCACUCAGCUUGCCCUUGAGCAAGGGAGCUGCUGUUGGAAUCUGCAAUGAGGCAAUGAGGCAGGAGAAAAAAGAGACUCAGAUGUCAAGAAGGCGCCCGAGGUCACAGAAGAAGCCAGGUGUCAUGUCAUCCAUCCCGGGUGCAUUUUCAUCUUUUGCGAAGUGGUACACAGACAUCCGCUUCAAAGAGGUGUCAUGUGAAAUAAAAUCAAGAUACAAUGUAUGAGCUACUGAUUUUUUGAAAAUGAUACUUGUUCAUGCAACUUUCUUCUUUGCUUAAAAACUUCCUUUUAUACUGCGGUAAUCCACUAUGAUCUAUAUCCUGCAUGCUUUAAACAAUUGUUUCAUGGAUAUAUGUUAGUUGUAUCUAUUUUGGGGGGUAUAUGUGAUAUUUUGACUAUCUGCUUUUGUUUUGUUUUGUUUUGUUUUGUUUUUGAGAGUCUCACUCUGUCGCCCAGGCUGGAAUGCAAUGGUGCAAUGUCAGUUCACUGCAACCUCCGCCUCCUGGGUUCACGUGAUUGUCCUGCUUCAGCCUACCGAGUAGCUGGGACUACAGGCAUAUGCCGCCAUGCUCAGCUAAUUUUUGUAUUUUUAGUAGAGACAGGGUUUCACCAUGUUGUCAGGCUGGUCUCAAACUCCUGACCUCGUGAUACACCUACUGUGGCCUCCCAAAGUGCUGGGAUUACAGGUGUGAGCCACCAUGCCCGGCUGACUGUCUGCUCUUAAUUUAAAUGCCAUCUGAUAAAUGAUACGGUGACUAGGGGAUUUCUGGACUUGGCACCUGAACUCAGUGCAGUCCUUAUCUCAGGGUAUUUGAUGCUUACUGUUGGAACGGCUUGGUCAAUUGAAAAUUAGGUCAUUUUAAUCCAUGGACUAGUUCUCUUUCGGGUAAUUGUAAUCAACGUGUAAAUACACUAGGGCAAACCGGAGAGGGUACAUUGAAGGUAAACAGUGCAUCACGGUGUCCACUCAAGAGUGCACCUUCACUUAACACAGGUUACAGGGGCAGAACCAGCCCGUUCUCCAUUUUUGUGUGUAGUUCCAUGCUUCAAAUGUAUCUUAAUUUUAUUUGCUUUUCUCAAACCUGAAAUAAAUUUUAGCUUUUAAGCUAUAGCAGGGGGGAAAGAAAAAAAGCCUCAGCCCUGCAGCAAGGCCAGUGCUCACAUUCUCGUCCUCUCUCUGCCCUUAGCGAGGUCCCAGUGCAGAAAGCACCCUGGUCUUUGGUGGUUGAGAUCCUUGCCCUUGGUGGAAUCCUACAACCCUCAGAACGACAGGGCCCCCUGGACUGUGAGCCAGUGGACCAGCUGUUUCUUGAGGUUUCAGGGAAACAGACAAGCUUCGAGCACAGCUGGGUUGCAGCAUGUUUUUUUCUUCCUUUUCGCCUUCAGCCGUGGCAGCCCGCUCCUGAUUUCUCUGGAAAGGCAGCUCCUAAUUAGAAUGGAUCGAAGAGUCUUUGCUUCAGCUUUGUUCUCGGUCUCGACUGAAUUGUUGCUUUAGGACUUAAUCUGGUGCAGCCACUGGUUGGCUGAUAGCCUUGGUUCUCCGAGCUCCUCUCAGGCUCAGGCAGGCUGGCACCCAGGGGGCACCCAGAGCUCUGCCCCCUCUCACUCCAGCCCUCUCUUCCUUCUUUCUUCUCUCCACUUGCCUUCUCUCUCUCUAAUUUCCUUUCAUUAAUGACCCAGGGCUGCCCAGGGUGCCAGUCCCCACUGGUGGGAGUGUAAACUGGUACAAUUUAUCUGGAUGGCAAUUUGUCAAAUGCUAUUAAAAGCUUUUUUUUUUAAAAAAAAGUACAUAGAUUUUGACUUGGAAAGUCCCUUUCUAGGAAUGUGUGUCCUGGAGAAAUAAUUGGACAGGGGUCGACAGAUAUGUGCAAGGGGACACUGUCCUUGGCAGUUUUCCUGAGUGACCACCUGGAAACCCGGUGUCUUUCAACAGGAAAUCAUUACGUGUGGUCACAUGAUAAACUAACUGCAAAAGAACCUUUGGGGUCAAUCAGGGAAAUUUGAAUGUGGACUGAGCAGUAGAUGCUCCUAAAGAAUUACUGUUAAUUUUAUAUAGCAUGACGAUGGCCUUGUGGUUGGUUUAGAGGCAGUGACUGAAGGACUGGUAUUUGGUUUAAAUGAUUGUAGCCACCGCCAUCAUGGAGGGGAACGGGUAAGUGCCACAGGAUUUGGAAGUUCUGAAACUGGGUGUCAGGUAAAUGAGCGUUCAUCACACUAUUCUGUUUCUGUGUAGGUUUUAAAAUUCUCACUAUUUAAAAAGAAAUAAAACGACCAUGUAAAAUCUCUCUCUCUCUCUCUCUCUCUCUCUCUCUCACACACACACACACACACACACACACACACACACACACACGCUCGUUUUGAGACAGAGUCUUGCUCUGCAACCUCCCCCUCCUGGGUUCAAGAGAUUCUCCUGCCUCAGCCUCCCAAGUAGCUGGGACUACAGGUGCCAGAUGCCACACCCAGAUAAUUUUUGUAUUUUUAGUAGAGAUUGAGUUUCAUCACGUUGGCCAGGCUGGUCUCGAACUCCUGACCUCAAGUGAUCCGCCUGCCUCGGCCUCCCAAAGUGUUGGGAUUACAGGUGUGAGCCACUGCACGUGGCCUAAAAUCAUAUUUUCUAACCUCAAAUAAUAUGCACCAGGUACUGUUAAAAGACAUAAGUUCCAAAUAGUAUAUAUGGCAUUAUCACAUUUUUGUUUGUUUGUUUCAAAAUAUGUACGUAUUUUUACAUGCAGGGGGAAAGGGAGAAGGCGCGCACACUGGGUGUGAUGGGCGGUUACCUCUGAGGGGCAGGAUUUGAAUAUGUUCUAUUUUCUUUUUUAUGCUUUUAG